GGUCCGUUGGUCAAGGGGUUAAGACACCGCCUUUUCACGGCGGUAGCACGGGUUCGAAUCCCGUACGGACUA
This 72-nucleotide transfer RNA is filed under the name Streptococcus agalactiae. RNAcentral's name for it is "tRNA-Glu". It matches the Rfam family "tRNA". From Rfam's summary of the family: Transfer RNA (tRNA) molecules are approximately 80 nucleotides in length. Their secondary structure includes four short double-helical elements and three loops (D, anti-codon, and T loops). RNAcentral also lists the same sequence under 2 other names. The record is from RNAcentral. Lineage: Bacteria; Bacillati; Bacillota; Bacilli; Lactobacillales; Streptococcaceae.